AGAGUGUGGAUGAGUGGCGAACGGCUGAGUAAACGUGGGGAACCUGCCCAUAAGAGGGGGAUAACAUCCGGAAACGGGUGCUAAUNCCGCAUAGGUGAUCAUAGCGCAUGCUUAGAUCAUUAAAGAUGGCUUCGGCUAUCGCUUAUGGAUGGCCCCGCGGCGUAUUAGCUAGUUGGUGAGGUAAUGGCUCACCAAGGCUGUGAUACGUAUCCGACCUGAGAGGGUGAUCGGCCACACUGGAACUGAGACACGGUCCAGACUCCUACGGGAGGCAGCAGUAGGGAAUCUUCCACAAUGGGCGAAAGCCUGAUGGAGCAAUACCGCGUGAGUGAAGAAGGUCUUCGGAUCGUAAAGCUCUGUUGUUAGAGAAGAACAGAGGUGUAGUAACUGGCACCUCCUUGACGGUAUCUAACCAGAAAGUCACGGCUAACUACGUGCCAGCAGCCGCUGGUAAUACGUAGUGACAAGCGUUGUCCGGAUUAUUGGGCGUAAAGCGAGCGCAGCGGUCUUUUAGUCUGAUGUG
This 523-nucleotide ribosomal RNA is filed under the name uncultured bacterium. RNAcentral describes it as "bacterial SSU rRNA". It matches the Rfam family "Bacterial small subunit ribosomal RNA", at positions 82 to 596 of the family's 1533-position model. The record is from RNAcentral.